CUGCUUUCAGAGGACAGCCACGCCUCUUGGAAGCACCUGCAAGGACCUGAAUGGUCCUAGCAGAGCUUCAACUGAGAGAACUGCAACAGGAUUUUGUUUCACUAGUCCUGUGCCUCUAAACCAAACCACUCAUCUGUGUGACCCUCACUUGCCUGCUCUGAACCCAGGAGACACAUAAACAGCCCUGGUGUUUUGCCUGCAUAUAUGCCUGUGUGCCACGUGAAUGAAUGCCCUCAAAAGCCAGAAGAGGAAGUCAGAUUCCCCUGGAACUAGAGUUAUAUAUAGAUGUUUAUGAGCCUUGUGGGUACUGGGAAUUGAACCCAGGAGCUGCUCAGCCAUGCCUCCAGCCUCUCCCUCACAACCUUUGAUUCCCGGCUGCAGUCUGAGGACCAAUGGACCAGACCCAUGAUUCUUUCACUGUGCGGUUUGAACAAAUUGCUGCUUCUUCAUCUGUCAAGCAGAGAUGACAAGCCGUGCCUGGGAGUUAACCAAGGCUCAGAGAGUGAGGUUACAAUGCAAUGUGGUGGGUGUGAUUUCAAGGGCAUGAGUCACUGGCAGACGGCAUGCCACCCCUGUCCCAGCUGUAGCUGUCACGGUACAUGUUCUUCUGGGCCCUGUCUCUAAUCCAGGUGGUCCGGGAGUGUGUAAGAAAGCAGGCUGAGCGAGCACAAUGGGGACCAAGCCAGUGUUUGUCCGUGGUUCCUGGUUUAGUUCCUGCCUUGAGUUCCUGCCCUGACUUGCCAUCAUGCCACACUACAACUGUAAGCUGAAAUUCGCCCCUUCCUACCCAAGUUACUUUUGAACAUGGUGUUCUAUCACAGUAAUAAAACCAACUCAGACACUGUGCUUUGGGAAACGACGCGGAAAUGGAUCCUUAAAGGAGAUGGCACACGUGCAGGAGCCUGGGAACUGUGGUUUGGUGGAGGAGUGGAUCCAGUUAAACGGGAACCCAGGGCCAGCGAGAGCCUCCCACACACCUGCAAAGAACACAGCUUUCUCUUCCUGCGGGGCCUCGUACACAGCAUCGAUCUUUUCUGGGAGCUCAGGCCAGAAUGUGGCCACCAGCAAGGGCCCUGUGGGCUUGUCACGUGGUGUCACUGUCCGCCAAAUAAACCUGGGAAUAGGAAUGGGACACAGGAAGUUACUCUGCAGCGCUAACCAGCAAGCCCACUCAGAAACACAGUGGAAGGUGGCAAGGUCUGAAGAAGGUUGGAGAGGGACACUGAGGAACAGGACACUGCUCUGCAAGAUGCCACCCUUCCCUCUUGCCCCCACCUCCUCCAGGAAGCCUCCCCAGACUGUCUGUUUACUGUGUCUCCUAACUCAGUGCCUCUUGAAUAUACUGAGCGCCUGGAGCAGCAGUUGUUCAUCUAUCUGUCCUAUUGGAUCGGAAGCCAGCGGAGGUAGGGGCGGGUGGCUCUUCAAAGCAUUUUCUGAAUUUAAAUGGAAUGAAUGUGUGUGCCUUGGCAAAAUAAGAGCUACAUUUACUAAGGGAGUACUGAGCGGCAAGCACGUUUAUGAAUGAGCCUUGUAAAAUGCAAGCCUCCUAACUGCAUAAUAACAUGUGUGCUUGGUGAUCUAUCUGCCCAGCAUCCGGCAUCUCUCUCUCCACCAUCCUUCCUCUCAGCUCCACACUUAUAACCAUCCUUCAACACCAGGAGCCUCCACUGCCCAUGACAUCAUCCUCGGCCUAGGAAUGAGGCCUGGGUGUCUCCAACCUUUUGACGUCAUAACAUGACUUGUCAUUGCAUUUCCAAAACAAAAGCUAUCCUCAGCUGCAGUGACCUUAGUGGCAGGCUGGUCACGGGUGAGCCACUGGCUCUCUGACUGUGAUCCUCAGGCCAGUGGGCUGAGCAGCACCUGAGCAUGUGUGAGAAAUUCGAAUUUCUGGGCCUGACCUGAGAUCUGUAGAGUAGAUGUCUCUGACUUAAGGUUGAGACUAUGUCUGAACAAGCCUUCCAGAUGACUCUGCCAAAGAUGGUUAUCUUACCAGUCCUUGCCAUGUGUCUUACAUCAGAAAGACAAGAUUGAGCAGAUAGACCAGGGUCUCCCCUCUAGACAUCUCUCUCUCUCCCUCCCACCUGACUCCACACUCUGGCUGGAUGUGGGAAGUCUGUGGUCCCAUCUGCCGCCAGCAGACAUCUUAGAACCCAAUCUUGGCACACAGGCCAUGCAAAGGUGUCAACGGGCAAAGACAAGUCACUUUCCCUCCUCUGCCCUUUAAAACAGCCCACCCCUGGACACUAUACCAUAAAAAAGCAUUUUUUUUUACACUUUUUAAUUGGGGGCAGGAGAAGGUGAUAGCUCUAUUAACAGCACAUACAAGCAGGGUCGUGAUCCUAAUUUGCCAAACCGCCCUCAGAUAGAUUAUGCUAUUACCUGGAUUCAGUUACACAUCCAACUCCAAAAUCCAUAUUCAAGGAUCUUGUAGCACAGCCCUGUCCUCCCAGAGCCUGGCACCAUAUUUGUAUAUGUUCACUGUUUAAUCAUUUACAGUGAAAAGUAUUCUGUAGUACUGCCCUGUCCUUCCAGAGCCUGGCACCAUAUUUGUAUAUGUUUACUGUUUAAUCAUUUACAGUGAAAAGUAUUCUGUAGUACAGCCCUGUCCUCCCAAAGCCUGGCGCCAUAUUUGUAUAUGUUCACUGUUUAAUCAUUUACAGUGAAAAGUAUUCUGUAGUACAGCCCUGUCCUCCCAGAGCCUGGCACCAUAUUUGUAUAUGUUCACUGUUUAAUCAUUUACAGUGAAAAGUAUUCUGUAGUACAGCCCUGUCCUCCCAGAGCCUGGCACCAUAUUUGUAUAUGUUUACUGUUUAAUCAUUUACAGUGAAAAGUAUUCUGUAGUACAGCCCUGUCCUCCCAAAGCCCGGCGCCAUAUUUGUAUAUGUUCACUGUUUAAUCAUUUACAGUGAAAAGUAUUCUGUAGUACUGCCCUGUCCUCCCAGAGCCUGGCGCAGAUAUUUGUAUAUGUUCACUGUUUGAUUAUUUACAGUGAAUCAAUUCAGAGAGCCUAUUGAACAUAUGUUUAGGUCCUUUUGAUAUAAAGUAUGAUGUAGUGUCAGAACCAGCCCUGGCCUGGGCAUGGGUGCAGAGCCAUUUCUGAGACUCCCACUUCUGACAGCUCUACACGUGGUCACAGUUUCCACAGUGGCAACUGCACCAAGCUAGGGACCUUGCUGGAUACUGGAGCCCCCACUUACAUCAGUGGUAUCGAGUCACUAACACUGGUUUGGGCACUAAGACCUAACUAUAACUGACUUGCUGCAUUUUGAGUCUCACUUCUCUCUACCUUCUUGUUGUCUUCAACUGGCCAGCGGCAGACGCUGUGAAGGGCAGGGCACGUGUAACCCACAGCUGUCCCCAAUGUCGAAAGAAGCCCUUCGGGGAACAGAAGACAUUCCUGGAGUAUCUUUUAGCCUCCCGAGGCUCUCUGUCCCACACUGUGUAAGUCAGGAACUUUUAUCUGUCCCUGCUUUGUGAUUCCUAACCUGCCACCACUGUCACCAUCCACCAGAAUGCUGCUUCCCCUCAAAGGUCCUGUUGAGAGGACGCCCACACCAUGAAGUCUUCCCGGACAGGGACAUCUGUACAGAGAAGCUCUUUGUAUUGCUGUCAAUUUGCUAUGAUUUUCUUCCCCUAACCACACAGGUGGUAUACCGUUAAAGAACCUCCAAAUCACUGGGGAAGUCGGGUAAAAUGCAGAUAGUAACCCUGCCCCCAAAGAGUCCAGUCAAAGGACUCAGGAGAGAGGGCAGAAACACUUUUUUAAAAAAAAUUAUCCCGUUCUAGGUGGUUCUAGUGUAGGAGGCCUGUGCACUUUUCUUGAGAUGAUAUGAUGUUAAAUAGACCCCCAUCCCCAGCACACUGUCUUUCUUUCCUUGGUUACCAUCAAGACACUGGCACAAUAGCUGCUAAAUUAUCAUCUGUUGAGAUGACAGCUAAUGGACUAAACAAACACACUCUGUGCUGCCAUUAUUCUAAGCUCUAAACUCAUCUGAUUCCUAUUUCUGCUCUAUUUGAACGGGUAAAACAUUAACCCCAUCUUAGAGAUGGGCAAACAGAGAUGCAAAGAAAAUUAUUAACUUACUGGUACCCAUACAACCUGUAGAGAGAGCUAGUGUAGUACUCUACAUCCACAGCCCAUUUUCCUAACUAGUAUACUCUAUGAAUGGAUGAGUGAAUAAUUGGAUCAAUGUAUGGAAGGACAAUGAAGACUAGAUGGCCAGAGGAAGAUGAUAGAUAGAUAGAUAGAUAGAUAGAUAGAUAGAUAGAUAGAUAGACAGACAAUGGUAGUGAUGAAUGGAUAGAUGAUGGACAGACAGAUGGAUGAAUGGACUCUAUAAUGAGGUCCUAGACAGUUCUUGACAUUACCCAGGGAUCUGGGGCGUUAGGGUGACUCUCAGCCAUCUAUCAUGACCAUAGCCUUGAAGAAUGAAAGAAAUAAUCUCUCUCCACCUAUGGUCACUUGCUAUCUAUAUAGACAGCAAUUUGGCCACUUGAGAUCAAUAGCAUUCAGUGAGAAGGUCAAUGGAAGACUGGCUAAUUCCCCUACAUUCUUCUCUCUGUCCUACUUUAGAAUCAUGUCUGCAUGCACCUUACUAUACGACAACACAGUCUAUCUUUCAGGGCUGAGCUGGGGUGACUGGGAUGCCCAGCUUAGCUAUGCUCUUUAAUUGCAUCUGUAGAAGAUUCUUAGAUAUGACAUGCAUCAAAUCCUUCAAUGAAUGUGUGUGAUUUUAUUUGACCUCUUACACCCUGCCAUCUGCCAUAAGUAUCUGCUAACUAUAGGAGAAUGAGUGACAUGUAAAAUGUUGCAAAAGCCUAGACAAGACCCCUGGUAAACCCAUAAUUCAAGAAAACCACCUCUGUGGUAAGCCACCAAGAUCUGCAUGUUGUGA
Molecule: long non-coding RNA, 4895 nt
Organism: Mesocricetus auratus (golden hamster)
Lineage: Eukaryota; Metazoa; Chordata; Mammalia; Rodentia; Cricetidae
Exons: 3
Source: RefSeq, a predicted model, not a curated record